UGGGUAAGGAAGCAUUUUGUCAUGCCCA
Molecule: non-coding RNA, 28 nt
Filed under: Rattus norvegicus (Norway rat)
Lineage: Eukaryota; Metazoa; Chordata; Mammalia; Rodentia; Muridae
Source: RNAcentral